GACGAACGCUGGCGGCGUGCCUAAUACAUGCAAGUAGAACGCUGAAGAGAGGAGCUUGCUCUUCUUGGAUGAGUUGCGAACGGGUGAGUAACGCGUAGGUAACCUGCCUUGUAGCGGGGGAUAACUAUUGGAAACGAUAGCUAAUACCGCAUAACAAUGGAUGACACAUGUCAUUUAUUUGAAAGGGGCAAUUGCUCCACUACAAGAUGGACCUGCGUUGUAUUAGCUAGUAGGUGAGGUAAUGGCUCACCUAGGCGACGAUACAUAGCCGACCUGAGAGGGUGAUCGGCCACGCUGGGACUGAGACACGGCCCAGACUCCUACGGGAGGCAGCAGUAGGGAAUCUUCGGCAAUGGGGGCAACCCUGACCGAGCAACGCCGCGUGAGUGAAGAAGGUUUUCGGAUCGUAAAGCUCUGUUGUAAGUCAAGAACGGGUGUGAGAGUGGAAAGUUCACACUGUGACGGUAGCCUACCAGAAAGGGACGGCUAACUACGUG
Molecule: ribosomal RNA, 497 nt
Filed under: uncultured bacterium
Lineage: Bacteria
Description: partial 16S ribosomal RNA
Rfam family: Bacterial small subunit ribosomal RNA
Source: RNAcentral